UACGUAGGUGGCAAGCGUUAUCCGGAUUUAUUGGGCGUAAAGGGAACGCAGGCGGUCUUUUAAGUCUGAUGUGAAAGCCUUCGGCUUAACCGGAGUAGUGCAUUGGAAACUGGGAGACUUGAGUGCAGAAGAGGAGAGUGGAACUCCAUGUGUAGCGGUGAAAUGCGUAGAUAUAUGGAAGAACACCAGUGGCGAAAGCGGCUCUCUGGUCUGUAACUGACGCUAAGGUUCGAAAGCGUGGGUAGCAAACAGG
Molecule: ribosomal RNA, 253 nt
Filed under: uncultured bacterium
Lineage: Bacteria
Description: partial 16S ribosomal RNA
Rfam family: Bacterial small subunit ribosomal RNA
Source: RNAcentral